GACGAACGCUGGCGGCGUGCUUAACACAUGCAAGUCGAACGGAAAGGCCCUGCUUUUGUGGGGUGCUCGAGUGGCGAACGGGUGAGUAACACGUGAGUAACCUGCCCUUAACUUUGGGAUAACUUCAGGAAACUGCGGCUAAUACCGGAUAGGAGCUCCUGCUGCAUGGUGGGGGUUGGAAAGUUUCGGCGGUUGGGGAUGGACUCGCGGCUUAUCAGCUGGUUGGUGGGGGAGUGGCUUACCCAGGCUUUGACGGGUAGCCGGCCUGAGAGGGUGAACGGCCACAUUGGGACUGAGGGACGGACCAGACUCCUACGGGAGGCAGCAGGGGGGAAUAUUGCACAAUGGGCGGAAGCCUGAUGCAGAAACGCCGCGUGCGGGAUGACGGCCUUCGGGUUGUAAACCGCUUUCGCCUGUGACGAAGCGUGAGUGACGGUAAUGGGUAAAGAAGCACCGGCUAACUACGUG
This 468-nucleotide ribosomal RNA is filed under the name uncultured bacterium. RNAcentral's name for it is "partial 16S ribosomal RNA". It matches the Rfam family "Bacterial small subunit ribosomal RNA", at positions 28 to 507 of the family's 1533-position model. The record is from RNAcentral.